Long non-coding RNA from Brassica napus (rape), 521 nucleotides. RefSeq lists it as uncharacterized. Lineage: Eukaryota; Viridiplantae; Streptophyta; Magnoliopsida; Brassicales; Brassicaceae. The record is from RefSeq and is a predicted model, not a curated record. The transcript has 3 exons.
AGGAGCGGCGGUGAGAAGAAAGAUAUGAAAAGAGGGUCAAAGAGAGAUGGUUUUGUUUUGUGAGUUUGGUAAACAAACAAAGGAAAAAAGAGUACCGUUUUCCCUGUAGGCCCUUGACCGCGUUGAUCGCCGCUCAUCUUGCGAGGAGCAAAAAAAAACCUUUAUGGAGCAAAAGCAUGUCUUGUGAGUAAAGGUAAAGUGUGAACUGGGAUGAUGCAGAAACCCAAGACAAAUUGGCGGGCCAGCUUUUGUCCUUCUAACACACCGCGAGACAAUCAUUCAAACUAACCCAACAAAUAAAAUAAAAGGGGAAAAUCGCAUAAAAAAAAAACCUUGAAAGUGUCAUUUACUAGCACUUUAAACCUUGAAUUUUUUUCACUAACACUUUUAACCUUCAAAGUGACAUUUUUAUCAUAAAAAACCUCCAAAAAAAAAAAUGACCGGCUGAACAUGUUAAAAACAGUUUUUUUUUCAAAAAAUAAUUAUUUAAUUAAUAAAAUAAACAAAACAAUUAAUAAAAA